GACGAACGCUGGCGGCGUGCUUAACACAUGCAAGUCGAACGCUGAAGCUCAGCUUUUGUUGGGUGGAUGAGUGGCGAAAGGGUGAGUAACACGUGAGUAACCUGCCCCCUUCUUUGGGAUAAAGCCCGGAAACGGGUGCUAAUACUGGAUAUUCACUGGUCUUCGCAUGGGGGUUGGUGGAAAGGGUUUUUCUGGUGGGGGAUGGGCUCGCGGCCUAUCAGCUUGUUGGUGGGGUGAUGGCCUACCAAGGCUUUGACGGGUAGCCGGCCUGAGAGGGUGACCGGUCACAUUGGGACUGAGAUACGGCCCAGACUCCUACGGGAGGCAGCAGUGGGGAAUAUUGCACAAUGGGCGCAAGCCUGAUGCAGCGACGCCGCGUGAGGGAUGGAGGCCUUCGGGUUGUGAACCUCUUUCGCUCAUGGUCAAGCCGCAACAAUGGUUGUGGUGAGGGUAGUGGGUAAAGAAGCGCCGGCUAACUACGUG
This 483-nucleotide ribosomal RNA is filed under the name uncultured bacterium. Its description in RNAcentral is "partial 16S ribosomal RNA". It matches the Rfam family "Bacterial small subunit ribosomal RNA", at positions 28 to 507 of the family's 1533-position model. The record is from RNAcentral.